UACAGAGGGUGCAAGCGUUGUUCGGAAUUAUUGGGCGUAAAGGGCGCGUAGGCGGUGCCACAAGUCACCUGUGAAAUCUCCGGGCUUAACUCGGAGCCUGCAGGCGAAACUGUGGUGCUGGAGUGUGGGAGAGGUGCGUGGAAUUCCCGGUGUAGCGGUGAAAUGCGUAGAUAUCUGGAGGAACACCGGUGGCGAAGGCGGCAUCCUGGACCGGCAUUGACGCUGAGGCGCGAAAGCCAGGGGAGCAAACGGG
This 253-nucleotide ribosomal RNA is filed under the name uncultured bacterium. RNAcentral's name for it is "partial 16S ribosomal RNA". It matches the Rfam family "Bacterial small subunit ribosomal RNA", at positions 524 to 776 of the family's 1533-position model. The record is from RNAcentral.